Molecule: transfer RNA, 63 nt
Filed under: Donacia distincta
Lineage: Eukaryota; Metazoa; Arthropoda; Insecta; Coleoptera; Chrysomelidae
Description: tRNA-Phe
Source: RNAcentral
ACUUAAAUAGCUUAUAGAGAGUAUGGUAUUGAAGAUACUAAGGAAAUUACAAAUUUUUAAGUA